UACCACGUUUUAAAGUUUCUUAAGGGAAACGGAUUGCUAGAUCGUGACCGGGACUACUAUUCUGCAUUCAAGGUGACCGAGAAGGUGUUCGUGGACAAGUACAUAUGCCCUCACAAUGAAGUUGCGCCGCACCUUGUUGAAGACUAUGCCGCCGCUUGCAGAGGGCAAGUGCCAACUAAUUUCAGAUUUGCUUGAACCAAGGACAGGCUAUGAGAAUUGGUUUUAAGCACACACAUUGGAUCUAAGAAAUUGUGAGACCAGACCAUUCUCCAACACAUUAAAUUUUCUACCUUCAGUUUAGUGCAUUGGGACAAUAAGCCAAGUGUCUAUGGCAAGAAUAAGCGUUGGUGUACAGACAAAUCCUUCAGUUUCUGAUCGAGUACUUGAAGGACUCAGAUGGAUCAGUUGUUGGUGAUCGGCAAGCUGAUUGGUCCGUACCUCUGCCACCACUUCUAGUUCCCAUUUCCACCAGUCAGUUUCUCCCUUUCUUUGACCAUAUUUGGUAGUACUAUUAUGAGAUAUCUUUUUCUACACCAUGGGGAAGAAUUAGGAAAUAAGUGUUGUAUGGCUGUAGCUACUGAUUACCUUUUUUAGUCUGGUUAUAGUUUUCUAUAA
Non-coding RNA from Lolium perenne, 615 nucleotides. The record is from RefSeq and is a predicted model, not a curated record. NCBI's taxonomy places the organism in Eukaryota, Viridiplantae, Streptophyta, Magnoliopsida, Poales, Poaceae.